This 104-nucleotide ribosomal RNA is filed under the name uncultured bacterium. Its description in RNAcentral is "partial 16S ribosomal RNA". It matches the Rfam family "Bacterial small subunit ribosomal RNA", at positions 392 to 508 of the family's 1533-position model. The record is from RNAcentral.
CAACGCCGCGUGAGGGAUGACGGCCUUCGGGUUGUAAACCUCUUUUAGUAGGGAAGAAGCGAAAGUGACGGUACCUGCAGAAAAAGCACCGGCUAACUACGUGC